This 305-nucleotide ribosomal RNA is filed under the name uncultured bacterium. RNAcentral describes it as "bacterial SSU rRNA". It matches the Rfam family "Bacterial small subunit ribosomal RNA", at positions 28 to 291 of the family's 1533-position model. The record is from RNAcentral.
GAUGAACGCUGGCGGCGUGCCUAAUACAUGCAAGUCGAACGCAUUGUGGUUGAAAUGAUAUGAAGAACUUGUUCAGAUUUGAUUUUCAACAUUGCAAUGAGUGGCGAACGGGUGAGUAACACGUGGGAAACCUACCUCUUAGCAGGGGAUAACAUUUGGAAACAAAUGCUAAUACCGUAUAAUAAUUAAAACCGACAUGGUUUUAGUUUAAAAGAAUGGUCUUGCUAUCACUAAGAGAUGGUCCCGCGGUGUAUUAGUUAGUUGGUGAGGUAAUGGCUCACCAAGAACAAUGAUACAUAGCCGAG